Molecule: small RNA, 26 nt
Filed under: Bombyx mori (domestic silkworm)
Lineage: Eukaryota; Metazoa; Arthropoda; Insecta; Lepidoptera; Bombycidae
Description: piRNA piR-bmo-1439850
Source: RNAcentral
CCGGCGAGAAACUCAGUGGACUGUGU